Molecule: ribosomal RNA, 518 nt
Filed under: uncultured bacterium
Lineage: Bacteria
Description: bacterial SSU rRNA
Rfam family: Bacterial small subunit ribosomal RNA
Source: RNAcentral
UUAGGACGAACGCUGGCGGCGUGCCUAAUACAUGCAAGUCGAACGCUUCCACCGGUGCUUGCACCGGGAAAGAAGAGUGGCGGACGGGUGAGUAACACGUGGGUAACCUACCUACAAGCGGGGGAUAACAUUCGGAAACGGAUGCUAAUACCGCAUAGGAUCGUUUUUGUCUACCUGGCAGAAAGAAGAAAGACGGUUUCGGCUGUCGCUUGGUAGAUGGACCCGCGGCGCAUUAGUUAGUUGGUGAGGUAAUGGCUCACCAAGACGAUGAUGCGUAGCCGACCUGAGAGGGUGAUCGGCCACACUGGGACUGAGACACGGCCCAGACUCCUACGGGAGGCAGCAGUAGGGAAUCUUCCGCAAUGGACGAAAGUCUGACGGAGCAGCGCCGCGUGAGUGAAGAAAGGUUUUCGGAUCGUAAAACUCUGUUGUUAGAGAAGAACAAGGAUGAGAGUAACUGCUCGUCCCUUGACGGUAUCUAACCAGAAAGCCAUGGCUAACUACGUGCCAGCAGCCGC